This 242-nucleotide ribosomal RNA is filed under the name Dicentrarchus labrax (European seabass). RNAcentral's name for it is "partial 28S ribosomal RNA". Lineage: Eukaryota; Metazoa; Chordata; Actinopteri; Moronidae. The record is from RNAcentral.
CAGAAUCCCGCCUAGACGUAACGAUACCAUAGCGCCGCGGAUCUUCGGUUGGCCCCGGAUAACCGGCUUCGGUCGGUGAGUAGAGCCGUUCGUGACAGGGCUGGGGUGCGGCCGGAUGAUGGUCGCCCCUCUCCUAUCUCGCACCGCAUGUUUGUGGAGAACCUGGUGCUAAAUCACUUGCAGACGACCUGAUUCUGGGUCAGGGUUUCGUACGUAGCAGAGCAGCUCCUUCGCUGCGAUCU